CGAGUGAAGCGGCAGCAGCUCAAAUUUGAAAUCUGGCGCCCCCCCCGGCGCCCGAGUUGUAAUUUGCAGAGGGUGGCCCGGGCCCGUCCCCGUCUAAGUCCCCUGGAACGGGGCGUCGUGGAGGGUGAGAAUCCCGUAUGCGACGGGGUGACGUGCCCGUGUGAGCCCCCUUCGACGAGUCGAGUUGUUUGGGAAUGCAGCUCUAACGGGAGGUAAAUUCCUUCUAAAGCUAAAUACCGGCCAGAGACCGAUAGCGCACAAGUAGAGUGAUCGAAAGAUGAAAAGCACUUUGGAAGAGAUCAAAAACACGUGAAUUGUUGAAGGAGCGCUCACGACCGACUGGGCGCGGCGCUCACCGCUCCGCAGUGCUCCCCGCGCCGGGCAGCAUCGUUCGGGCGCCGGAGAAGGCCCGGGAACGGGCUCCCUCGGGAGGGUACACCCGGGGCACGCGCCCCCCGGACAGGACGCGUCCUAGGAUGUGGUAUGUCGUCACGGCCGUUUGAACCGGACCAAGGAGUCUACCAUCGGUGCGAGUCCUAGGGUGUCAAACCCUCGGGCGCAAUGAAAGGAACGGAGGUGGGAACGCCUGUGCACCACCGACCGAUCCAGAAGUCCUCGGACGGAUUUGAGUAAGAGCACCGCUGGUGGGACCCGAAAGAUGGUGAACUAUGCGCGGAUAGGGUGAAGCCAGAGGAAACUCUGGUGGAGGCUCGCAGCGGUUCUGACGUGCAAAUCGAUCGUCAAAUCUACGCAUAGGGGCGAAAGACUAAUCGAACCAUGAACGGCCCCGCUAGGUGGUUCAGAGCGGGUACCCGCGCGGGUACCCGUCUAGUCCCCGUUACGGGGGCGAUAUCGCCAAACUGCGGGAACACCUGACAGGCGAUCCGGGUGACCGCCCCCCCGCCGAGAGGCGGCGGGAAGGCACCGAGCCCAAGGGCUCGGGUACGGUCAGAGCACCCGCGCUCAG
Molecule: ribosomal RNA, 967 nt
Filed under: Asterina brigadeirensis
Lineage: Eukaryota; Fungi; Ascomycota; Dothideomycetes; Asterinales; Asterinaceae
Description: Asterina sp. ALF-2021a partial large subunit ribosomal RNA
Rfam family: Eukaryotic large subunit ribosomal RNA
Source: RNAcentral